GGAUGAAGAACGUAGCGAAAUGCGAUAAGUAAUGUGAAUUGCAGAAUUCAGUGAAUCAUCGAAUCUUUGAACGCACAUUGCGCCCGCUAGUACUCUAGCGGGCAUGCCUGUUCGAGCGUCAUUUCAACCCUCAAGCCCCCGGGCUUGGCGUUGGGGACCGGCAGCCCGCCCUCUGGCGGCAGCCGCCCCCGAAAAACAGUGGCGGUCUCGCUGUAGCUUCCCCUGCGUAGUAGCACACCUCGCACCGGAUCGCGGCGCGGCCAUGCCGUAGAACACCCACUUCUGAAGGUUGACCUCGGAUCAGGUAGGAAUACCCGCUGAACUUAAGCAUAUCAAUAAGCGGAGGA
Molecule: unclassified non-coding RNA, 347 nt
Filed under: soil metagenome
Description: partial contains 5.8S ribosomal RNA, internal transcribed spacer 2, and large subunit ribosomal RNA
Rfam family: 5.8S ribosomal RNA (bases 2-121)
Source: RNAcentral